RNAcentral lists this ribosomal RNA (187 nucleotides) under uncultured bacterium. Its description in RNAcentral is "partial 16S ribosomal RNA". It matches the Rfam family "Bacterial small subunit ribosomal RNA", at positions 1305 to 1500 of the family's 1533-position model. The record is from RNAcentral.
CUGCAACUCGACUCCAUGAAGCUGGAUUCGCUGUAAUCGCGCAUCAGCCAUGGCGCGGUGAAUACGUUCCCGGGCCUUGUACACACCGCCCGUCAAGCCAUGGAAGCCGGGGGUGCCUGAAGUGUGCAGCCGCAAGGAGCGCCCUAAGGUAAAACCGGUGACUGGGGCUAAGUCGUAACAAGGUACC